Molecule: long non-coding RNA, 1904 nt
Organism: Mauremys reevesii (Reeves's turtle)
Lineage: Eukaryota; Metazoa; Chordata; Testudines; Geoemydidae
Exons: 5
Source: RefSeq, a predicted model, not a curated record
UGCCAAGGACUCACUGGAAGAAAACAAUGAAAUUAAGUGAAACACCAGUAAAGCAACCACCUCCUGUCUCGAGCAUCUAGUGGGAUGGUUCUUCUACCUGGCUGAGACGUAUUGUCACUCACUCUGCUAGGUUUUAAAUAUAAUCCAGAUUAACCCCAAGCAAGUGUCAAACUGUUGGGCUUGAGAUGCUCCUGGCUUCACGUCCCAGCCCAGGACAUUGGUGGAGGCUGGAGUUCUUGAUCAGCUGAAAUGAAAUCACUUAUUUGAGCCACUUUGCUGGUUGGCUGCACAUCCAAAUUCAUUUGCAACCUGCAUUUCACAGGAAAUUAAGCUCUCUCAAUAGAGCUAAAGAAAAUAUGAAACUGGGUCAGUUUUAAACCUGUUACAAACGUGUCCCAUGAAGUUGCCCCCAGAUAGAUUUCCCCGUUCCUUGAAGUGACAGUGUUUUAAAAUCCUGUCUAAAGCCCUUGCCAGGCCCAGGAAUACCAGCCCUGGCACGUACAGUUGGCUUGCAGAAAAUAACAGGGCUCCAAGGAGGGAUGGUAAAUUGCGAGCUGGGAUUUGGCCUGAUUCUUAUGCCCCUGCAUGAAUUGAGGUGGGAGCUGCCACUGGCCCCUAGCAGUGCUCUGGAGGUUGCAUGGCCCAUCGCCACUCAGCUGCCUGCACUGGAGCUGCCAGCUGGGAAGGCACUGACCCCGCUGGCGGGAUGAGGAUGUCACGCCUGUCGGGAACCUGCCGGCCCUUGUCUCUACCUCGCCCACCCAGCUGAGGAUGGUACAAUAUUAAAUGAACCCUCCCAACCAUGUUUGUCACGUCACACCGCUAGCUUUUCGGCUGGAUACUUUGAACUGAGCUGGUCAGGUAUGUGAACGGCAAUGGCUCCGUCACAAAGGGUGAAUACGUUCAGCUGCCGCCAGCGAAGCUGAGCGGAGUGAGGGCCUUUCCCCCUCUGCUGUUAAGCAAAGAGCAGCCUCCUCCAAUCACAGCCCCACACACCAAUCCGCGGUGCUCCCCUUGGGCUGCUGCUGGGAGCUGCCAGCGUGGAUGACACCUGUCGGACUCCGCGCCAGGGCACCGCUGGGCUGGUCAGCAUGCUCUGCAAGUGCACCAGAGGCAUCAUCCCAGCACCUGCAUUUCAUCCAGAUAGGGCCCAGCUUCCCGUCAGACCAGAGCAGGGGCACGAGCAGGGCGUACAGCAGAGGUCACGGUCACGGGUCUGCAAAGCAUCGGUCCCACCGGAGCCAGGCUGCCUUGGAACCAAGGGACUGACUGAUGCCCGUGACUCACUCUGGUGCGGCUAGUCAGGGGCCUGCCAGCAGGCGAGUCCCUGGCGUGCCAUUGAGACGCCGAAUUUCCAGGGAGGAAGAGCAGUAUUCUAAGGAGCUUCCAUUAACCUCGGCCCUUCUGCUGUUGCUUCCUGGGAGAAAGCAAUUAUUGCUCCCUCACGUGACUUUGGGAAGAAAAUGUGGCAGGGCAGUGAAUUACCAGGAACGUUUUUCAGCCUGCGUUUGGCUAUACCUGAAAACGUCACUGACUUCGAAGACCUGACUAAGUGGGGGCUGUGUCGGGAAUUCUGCACUGGAGCCAUUGCUCGGACUGACAGGUACAGCCCUAGCUUCCCUCUCCUCUGCUCUGGAGCUCGUCCCAUGAGUGCCGAUGGCUGAGAUCUCGUCAGAAUGUCGGUUCUCCUUUGGUGAACUGUACACAAAGAAUCGGGAGGGGUUUAACCGAGUGCUGAAACCCUGGCAGAGAAGAAGUGGAUGUAACCAGGACUCUUGUCAUAUACAUUUUGCAUGAUUUUCAGGCUUUGAACACAUUCAACAGGGAGCCUAUCCAGCCUGUCAACCUGUGUUAUUGUCGAUGGGACUUAUGUGCAGACAUCAACAGGAGAAUCGGCCCCGGAG